This 161-nucleotide ribosomal RNA is filed under the name Bromus tectorum (cheatgrass). RNAcentral's name for it is "5.8S ribosomal RNA". It matches the Rfam family "5.8S ribosomal RNA". Rfam says of the family: 5.8S ribosomal RNA (5.8S rRNA) is a component of the large subunit of the eukaryotic ribosome. It is transcribed by RNA polymerase I as part of the 45S precursor that also contains 18S and 28S rRNA. Lineage: Eukaryota; Viridiplantae; Streptophyta; Magnoliopsida; Poales; Poaceae. The record is from RNAcentral. RNAcentral also lists the same sequence under 5 other names.
ACGACUCUCGGCAACGGAUAUCUCGGCUCUCGCAUCGAUGAAGAACGUAGCGAAAUGCGAUACCUGGUGUGAAUUGCAGAAUCCCGCGAACCAUCGAGUCUUUGAACGCAAGUUGCGCCCGAGGCCACUCGGUCGAGGGCACGCCUGCCUGGGCGUCACGC